Molecule: ribosomal RNA, 371 nt
Filed under: uncultured bacterium
Lineage: Bacteria
Description: bacterial SSU rRNA
Rfam family: Bacterial small subunit ribosomal RNA
Source: RNAcentral
GUAGGGUCCGAGCGUUGUCCGGAAUUAUUGGGCGUAAAGAGCUCGUAGGCGGCCUGUCGCGUCUGCUGUGAAAGUCCGGGGCUUAACUCCGGGUGUGCAGUGGAUACGGGCAGGCUUGAGGUAGGUAGGGGAGACUGGAAUUCCUGGUGUAGCGGUGAAAUGCGCAGAUAUCAGGAGGAACACCGGUGGCGAAGGCGGGUCUCUGGGCCUUACCUGACGCUGAGGAGCGAAAGCGUGGGGAGCGAACAGGAUUAGAUACCCUGGUAGUCCACGCCGUAAACGUUGGGCGCUAGGUGUGGGGACUUUCCACGGUUUCCGUGCCGUAGCUAACGCAUUAAGCGCCCCGCCUGGGGAGUACGGCCGCAAGGCUA